This 3178-nucleotide long non-coding RNA is filed under the name Nicotiana benthamiana. RNAcentral's name for it is "long non-coding RNA (NBEN_LNC008228)". The record is from RNAcentral. Lineage: Eukaryota; Viridiplantae; Streptophyta; Magnoliopsida; Solanales; Solanaceae.
UUUCAUUUAUAACUUUUUUUUCAAAUACAAAAUGGGAAGUAAUAUAACAAAUGACUCGAAAAUCUAAACAAAACUGAUAGACUCUAUACUAUUGUACAAUACUAAUAAUUAAAAGAUAACAUGAAUGACAGACUCAAAACAUAAAAGUAUUUAUAAGCAACUCCUAAAUGCAGUGGUCCUGGGGUUGUCAUGCUCAAACUCUAGCAAAUUGGUCCAUACCUGAAUGAGAAAAAUAUGAUCAAAUAGAGUUAGUGAUUCAAGACACAUUGAAUCUCCUAUUGGACACAUGCAAGGCAUAAUUGGGCUAUUUUUGCAAAAAUGACCUAUGUGGCUAAGAAGGGAUAGAAGUGCAAACUCAACAAAGAUGACCUCAAAGACAUGGACAUACCUCCAUAAGACUUGUAUGGAUUCGACUUCCCAUAAUCAUGGCCCAACAAUUGAUUUGCAAGAAUGCCUCACUUUGCAAAAUCGCCCGAUAUAGCCAGAAAUGGCUAAAGAUGAAUACUCAAAAAGGAAGGACCUUACUUCCCAUAAUCAUGGCCCAAAAAUUGAUUUGCAAGAAUGACUCAUUUUGCAAAAUCGCCCGAUAUGGCCAGAAAUGACUAAAGAUGAAAACUCAAAAAGGAAGGACUUUAAAUUAUCUAUGACACUUAGUUGUGGACUCUAGAUCCUAGGACAUGGGUAGUUGAACCAGUUUUGCAAAAAUAACCCAAUUUUGCAAAAAUAGUCGAUGUGACCAAAAGUGGCUAGACAUGCAAAUUCAACAAAAAUUGGCCUUAAAAUUGAAAGAACACCUUGAUGUGGGCUUAGGACUCUAAGACAUAGGUUAAUAAUCCACUUACGCAAAAAUAACCUUAUUUUACAAGAAUGGCCGACGUGGCCAAAAACAGCUAGCCAUGCAAGAUUUGGGUAAGACCCAGCGAAGCCAAAAACCUAGGACACUGCGAAGACGGGACACUAUGUGGGUUGCCUACGUAUCUAGCCCCGAAAGGACGAGAAUCAGGUUCGCGUAGUUCGGGAAGAUGCAAUUAAUUUGAAAAAAUUAUAUUUUUGUCUUUUUGAAAAAUGAUGAUGGAAUGUAUUUUUGGGCCACGAGCCCAUUUUGACAAAAUUUGGACAAGCUCCCUACAAAGGGACACGGUACCUGGGACCGAGCCCUACUAGGUGUAAAUGACAUGAUACAAAUAAAAAUGACCUAAAGGCUGACCUAAGUUUGGGGUUCACUAACAAGGCAAUUCGGGGGAGCGUAUAGUUGAUGGUGGCUGCUCAAGCUUUUCACCCACUCCAUACGUUCGACGGCCCCCCUCCUGAAUUAAGGGUGACUCAACAAAGAGUUCGUGCACGCGACGCGUGCUCCGAGACUUGUUGCAGAAAGAAGACUCGUGGUUAUGUAAAUGAUGGCAAUUUAUAAUGCAGUAACACAUAAAGAAAAAACAUAUAAACAAGUAAGCAACUAGCAAAUAAUAAAAGACAUAAACAACAUAUAUAUCAAAUAAAGCAAACAAAACACAUUAAAACCUCAACCGAACAUCCUAAAAGCCAACAAGAUCAAAUACUAGCUCGAACCUGCAAAUCCCCAGCAAAGUCGCCAGAGAUGUCACACCCCUUUUUUUAAAACAAACCCUACUCAAUCCUCUUAAAUAAAUAAAAGGAUUUAAAUAAAGCUUGAAAAGGGUUUUCAAUUUUGAAAGUGACAAAAUUAUGUUUCAAAAGAAAAUAAACUCAAAGUCGCCACCUGACAUUUGAUUUCAGUGUGCCAGGUCACCGUUUUUUUCUAAAAAUAAUAAUUGUCCUUUCAAAACACUUUGAACUCUAAUCUAAGUCUAUACCAGAGAUAAGGGUAAAGGGGUUCAUUUGACUCGGGAGAAGGUGUUAGGCACUCCACAAGUCCCAUAACUGGUACCGUUGCUUACUCGAUCAAGUUGGCUUUUAAGAUAUUCAAAUUGAGGUAACAAAAUACACAAAAGAAAAUAAACAAUCAAAAAGGCUUGAGGUUGUCCAUACCUAAUAAAAUAAAAAAAUAAAUAUAAAACAAGAAUAAAGUACUACAAGUUUUGCUUUCGGCCUCCAAAUACAAAUAUCUCGGGGCAUACCCCGGGCAAAAUAUAUGUACAACUCCUUCUGGACAUUUCCCGGAUAAAUUUAACUAAGGAAACGACCUCUCGCCUCGAAAUUAACAAAAUCCCAAGGCUUGUUUAUCCAAAUUUGGUCGGGCUAAGGCAUGCUCUUAACGGUCCCAACAAUAAAAUCAACAUUAAAAUAACAUAGAUCCGUUUAUACCCAAUUCCAACUUCAUUCUUGCGUCAAGUCAAAACUAUUUUCCUUUUCCCAUUUGCACCUUAGUUUGACUUCUUAUGUUUGUAAAUUUCUUUCCAACAAUAAUUAGUAUGGGUAUGACAGCUAAAACUAAUUUAAUCAAAUUCAAAGCAUGAAAUAUUUAAAUAAUCAACAACAGAUAAUAUGCAAAAUCCAAACUCAUGUCAUUAAAGUCUUGUAUAUGAAACUAAAAGGAGAUAGGAAAGAGUUGACCUCAAAACAAAGUAAUUUGAAUCUGAAAAUGCGUAACAAUCUCGGGGGACUGCGAAUCUACCCAAAAACCUUGAAUCCGACACCAACUUCGAACGGACCUCUCCCCGGACAGAAAAUGGAACUCGAAUCUCUCUGAGAAAACCUCAAAUCGACAAAUCGAAGACCUCUCCGGGAAAAUAGGAACUUCGACGGAAAACCAACCGGAUUCUGCCGGAAUUUGAACGAAGCAAUAAUGAAACGAACCAGGCGACUAGAACCUUGGUCGAACCUAAUUUGCAGCUACUGUCCAAUCGAUUUAGGAAUUAGAAAAUUGAAGAUUGGAAGAUUUUGGUCCAUCUUUUCUUUCAACAAUGGCUGCCUUCCUUUGUUUUCCCAUGUAUGUUCGUUUUUCUUUCAACAAUGGCUGCACCACUGGUCCGUCGGUGGAAGUUGACGGAAAAGUAGAUGGGGCUGUAGUGGGCUGGCUUCAGCUGGUCGACGGGGAUCGUUUGGUGGUCGUGAGGAGCUCGCCGGUGAGGGGUUGUUUUUGUGUUGGAGGUUGACGGCGGCUGGUUUUUUGGCUCUUUAGGGUUUAGUCUUCUUGUGUUUUUUUGGAUGGGGAAGUAGAGGGGAGUCUAGGGUUUUUUCUUUUUUCUUCUUUUUUUUUUUU